This is a non-coding RNA of Triticum aestivum (bread wheat), 138 nucleotides long. Lineage: Eukaryota; Viridiplantae; Streptophyta; Magnoliopsida; Poales; Poaceae. The record is from Rfam.
CACAUACUCCCUCCGUCCGGAAAUACUUGUCAUCAAAAUGAUGAAUAAAAGGGGAUGUAUCUAGAUGUAUUUUAGUUCUAGAUACAUCCUUUUUUGUUCAUUUUAAUGACAAGUAUUUUCGGACGGAGGGAGUAGUAU